This 843-nucleotide ribosomal RNA is filed under the name uncultured bacterium. RNAcentral's name for it is "bacterial SSU rRNA". It matches the Rfam family "Bacterial small subunit ribosomal RNA", at positions 650 to 1504 of the family's 1533-position model. The record is from RNAcentral.
GAUAGAGGAAAGCAGAAUUUCUAGUGUAGAGGUGAAAUUCGUAGAUAUUAGAAAGAAUACCAAUUGCGAAGGCAGCUUUCUGGAUCAUUACUGACACUGAGGAACGAAAGCAUGGGUAGCGAAGAGGAUUAGAUACCCUCGUAGUCCAUGCCGUAAACGAUGUGUGUUAGACGUUGGAAAUUUAUUUUCAGUGUCGCAGGGAAACCGAUAAACACACCGCCUGGGGAGUACGACCGCAAGGUUAAAACUCAAAUGAAUUGACGGGGACCCGCACAAGUAGUGGAGCAUGUGGUUUAAUUCGAAGAUACGCGCAGAACCUUACCAACACUUGACAUGUUCGUCGCGACUCUAAGAGAUUAGAGUUUUCGGUUCGGCCGGACGAAACACAGGUGCUGCAUGGCUGUCGUCAGCUCGUGUCGUGAGAUGUUGGGUUAAGUCCCGCAACGAGCGCAACCCUCACUUUUAGUUGCCAUCAUUAAGUUGGGCACUCUGAAAGAACUGCCAGUGAUAAGCUGGAGGAAGGUGGGGAUGACGUCAAGUCCUCAUGGCCCUUACGUGUUGGGCUACACACGUGCUACAAUGGCAUCUACAACAGGAAGCAAAACGGCAACGUUAAGCAAAUCCCGAAAAGAUGCCUCAGUUCGGAUUGCACUCUGCAACUCGAGUGCAUGAAGCUGGAAUUACUAGUAAUCGUGGAUCAGCGUGCCACGGUGAAUGCGUUCCCGGGUCUUGUACACACCGCCCGUCACACCAUGGGAGUUGGUUCUACCUUAAGGCAAGGUUUUAAACCCUUGACCACGGUAUAGUCAGCGACUGGGGUGAAGUCGUAACAAGGUAACCGUA